RNAcentral lists this ribosomal RNA (2594 nucleotides) under Polyblastia viridescens. RNAcentral describes it as "bacterial SSU rRNA". The stretch from base 1 to 2030 matches the Rfam family "Eukaryotic small subunit ribosomal RNA". Lineage: Eukaryota; Fungi; Ascomycota; Eurotiomycetes; Verrucariales; Verrucariaceae. The record is from RNAcentral.
AACCGUGGUAAUUCUAGAGCUAAUACAUGCUAAAAACCCCGACUUCGGAAGGGGUGUAUUUAUUAGAUAAAAAACCAAUGCCCUUCGGGGCUCCUUGGUGAUUCAUAAUAACUCAACGAAUCGCAUGGCCUUGCGCCGGCGAUGGUUCAUUCAAAUUUCUGCCCUAUCAACUUUCGAUGGUAGGACAGUGGUAAGCAUUUCCCCCCCCCCCUUUACGGCACCCUCAACUUUUCAACGCACUUGCUAAUAUUCUUGCAGGCCUACCAUGGUCUCAACGGGUGAGAUGAUUCUCUGUUGCCCGCUUUUUUGAUCCGUAGGGGCCUCGGCCUCUGCGACAUCAUUGGUUCAGAAGAUGUUCUGUUGGAGCUAAUUCUGAGGUGUGCUCCCUGAGGGGCCGCCUAAACGCAUGCCAAGUGAUGGGCUCGGCUCAACGAGUUUGUGAUACAUGCUGUCCAUUCGGGUAAAAUCGAAUCAGGCUACAGCCUUUGUGUGAGGCCGUAUCGUGGUUCUGUGGGCUUGCUGGAAGAAUUGGGUGCAGGGCUCAAAUCAUCGGUUCCACAAGCCCGCUCCCACGGUAGAGAGUCUACGGCUGUGGAUCUGCAGGAUCUGACGAACGGGGAAUUAGGGUUCGAUUCCGGAGAGGGAGCCUGAGAAACGGCUACCACAUCCAAGGAAGGCAGCAGGCGCGCAAAUUACCCAAUCCCAAUGCGGGGAGGUAUGUACAACCGUCCCAUCUUCUUUCACGUAAAUGCUAACGAUCGCGCAGGUAGUGACAAUAAAUACUGAUACAGGGCUCUUUCGGGUCUUGUAAUUGGAAUGAGUACAAUCUAAAUCCCUUAAUUUCGUUGGGUUACUACACAGACCGUCGUUGGGGGAUUUAUCACAAGUCAUUCUAUACUAGAUGGCGACGUCCCGUCUUUCCGAGAACUUACAACUUUAAGCUGUAAGAAUUCGAAGCCCUAUCUGGGUUCAGAGACUACGCAGGGGCGGAUAGCUUCGACUAUUUAUAAUAUAGUCCAAUCCUCGGGCCAUUCCGGCCCGAGGUGAUUAUGUAACGAGGAACAAUUGGAGGGCAAGUCUGGUGGACAAUGUUCCGCUGACGCCAGACCGGGGGCGGGAAGAUGCCUUCUUCCGCUCCAGUAGACAGCCACGCUGUCUGCAAGAUGAUCGGUACGGGAAAAGCUAGGAUCCACGACUGUGGCUGGCUUAUCCCGUGGUCCAGGCUCCGAGUACGCCUUGACUGACCUCGCCCUGUUCCAUAACGCACGCCAGAUCAUCGCCGAUGUGCCCAGAGUCUGGGUUGACAACGGUUCAGGGACGUGCUAAUCCCCACCUGAGAAGGGGGUCUCACCGCGGACAAGGUGGGACUUGGGAUAUAGAUGGCCAGCAGCCGCGGUAAUUCCAGCUCCAAUAGCGUAUAUUAAAGUUGUUGCAGUUAAAAAGCUCGUAGUUGAACCUUGGGUCUGGCUGAUCUGUCUUCCUAACCGUUGUACGGAUUCGGUCGGACCUUUCCUUCUGGGGAAACCUAUGUCCUUUAUUGGUCGUAGUGGGAAACCAGGACUUUUACCUUGAAAAAAUUAGAGUGUUCAAAGCAGGCCUUUGCUCGAAUACAUUAGCAUGGAAUAAUACAAUGGGACAGCAGUUCUAUUUUGUUGGUUUCUAGGACCGCUGUAAUGAUUAAUAGGGAUAGUCGGGGGCGUCAGUAUUCAAUUGUCAGAGGUGAAAUUCUUGGAUUUAUUGAAGACUAACUAUUGCGAAAGCAUUCGCCAAGGAUGUUUUCAUUAAUCAGUGAACGAAAGUUAGGGGAUCGAAGACGAUCAGAUACCGUCGUAGUCUUAACCAUAAACUAUGCCGACUAGGGAUCGGGCGGUGUUUUUUUAUAUGACACGCUCGGCACCUUACGAGAAAUCAAAGUUUUUGGGCUCUGGGGGGAGUAUGGUCGCAAGGCUGAAACUUAAAGAAAUUGACGGAAGGGCACCACAAGGCGUAAGCAGUCACUCUGCGCCUGUCGAUGAAGCCCGGCACCAAUUCAUCGGGCGUGUCCACGAGGCACGCGGAUACCUAGAUUGCGGGGAUCCUCUCGGGGUGAUCCGCAGCUCACGGCUGUGAGUUCAGAGAUUAGAUAGGUAUGGAAGGACCCAACUCCUUCUGAGCGAUAAUCCAUGCGCCGUCUUCGCUGACCUCCGCAACCAUGGGAGCCUGCGGCUUAAUUUGACUCAACACGGGAAAACUCACCAGGUUAACCUUUGACCGAUCUACGUCUGGGCCUGGGAAUCCUCAGUACCGGUUUCAACCGGCGCAACACCAGCUGGCACAGGGGACGCGCAACGCCGAUCCUGUAGCGAGCCCAUCCACGAUGGGCCGUUGCAACGCACAGCAAGCGGUGGGCGGUUCGGGGAGACCUCUUCCGGAACGCUUUUGGUAUAUGCUAACUCUACGGGAAACCGUGCCUCUCCGUCCAGACCUUGCGGUCAGGGCUCGGGCGGGACCUCUGCGAAGGGGUUGAGAUCCGUGCCAGACAUACGAAGGAUUGACAGAUUGAGAGCUCUUUCUUGAUUAUAUGGGUGGUGGUGCAUGGCCGUUCUUAGUUGGUG